Long non-coding RNA from Planococcus citri (citrus mealybug), 2563 nucleotides. RefSeq lists it as uncharacterized. The record is from RefSeq and is a predicted model, not a curated record. The transcript has 2 exons. Lineage: Eukaryota; Metazoa; Arthropoda; Insecta; Hemiptera; Pseudococcidae.
AUACCGUAGUACGCAGCUAUGGACAGAAAAAAGAAGCAGAGAGGAAAAAAGAGCCGAAGAAAUAAGAACUUAUCGAGGUGUCAAAACGAAAUUGAGCUCUCGUUCGUCGCCCCGGGGUUAAAACAACAAAACGCCACCGCGAUUAGGCGGUUAUGAAAAUUAAAAGUUUCGGAUCAGUCGUUCUCAAAAUGCGGACCUUGUUUCUUAUUAUUCGUGUAAUUUUCUCGUAUCGUAUGUUUCAACUAUAGAGACAGUUUCAACUCUGCCUACGUUAAAGACACACCUACGUUCCAACUUUGGAAGCACUGCAAAACUUCAAUGAAUUUCACUCAAGGGGUACAAUCGUAAGCUUAAAAUUAUGUACAUGGCAAUAUUCCCCCACCCCUCUCAUAGCUUUUGGAGCCAUGGAAAUUUAGGAAGUAUUCCAAGCAUUGCAAUGGUAUCCAACCUUAACAGAAAAUAGCAGUUUGACAUUCGUAUUAUAUGUACCAGGUAAUAAUUGAGAAAAAUGGCCAAAAUUUAUCAAAUUUUUUAAAUUCUUUGAAAUUGGCUAUAAUGGCCGAAAAAUUAGCACCAGAGUAUUUCAAAAUAUUUCCGCAAUUUCUGAAAUGAUAACUUCCGAUGUUUUAGUAAAAUUUAUGCAAAACAUUUGAGAAGGAAACAUUUUUCAAAAUACGAAUUUCCCUGAAAAAAUACGAUUUGCAAAUUUUUGAUUAUCUCAGUACAUAGAACCAUAAUACAGGUUUUGGAUUUUUAUGUCAUCUGCCUAGGUCUACGUAGGACUUGAAAUAUUAUUUUUUGGAACUGGUCAAUUUUUCUCAAAACAGUCUGGGUAAGACUUGAAGCGAAAAAACCACGAUUUUUCAAAAAAUGCUCUUCUUUGAGGAUCCAUAUCUUUCCUCAGGGGACACCUUCUGAUCUAAAAUUUUUCCUCAAUGACUUUCAACUCAAAAUGAAUGUCUCCAAGUCAAAAUCCUCCGACAUUUUUUUUCGUGUUCACCUUAAUAAAUGCGUUAGGGAGAAAAAUAUUUGCUUUUUUUGGGGGCGAUUUUGAAAUGUACCUAUUGUUUAAAACUAAGUACCUAUUAUUGAACUUUUUUUUUGAUUUUUUAAAAUAAUGAGUAUUUGGAUUGUGAGUCGAAAUUUACUCUUCAGGUUUCAAGGAGGUGAAAAGACCAUGGAAAGUCUAGAAAAAAAUCGCAUGAUUUUAAUACAAGAAUGAAUCAUGAAACAGAACCGAAAAGUAUUUUUUCGUAAUACAUUUUCUCCCGAUUUAUAUUGUUUUAAAAUUUUUGAACUUUUUAGUUUGAAGUUUCUGUUGUAGAAAUUGAAGAUCGAUCAAAUAUCGCUGAAGAAUUGAUCAAUGCCGAAAAUAUAACAGUCAAUGUGUCGCGAUAUAUUACAGAAUAUUUUUUUCGCUGGAAUGAUAGUACGAGAGGUAGCUGAAAUGAUACAUACCAAUGUUACCAUCAGGGAAACGAUGUAGGUACCUAGCAAAAACAGCAUCAAUACCAUAGGUACUGAUCAGAUUAUUCAACAGAGCAGACAGUAUCUAGCGCAUUUUUUGGUCUUUGCUGCAAGUUUUUUUUUUUCAAAAGACGAUCAAAUUAUAGGCAUUAGUAGAAAGGAAAUUCAUCUGACUGUUUCAUCUGUUUAGUGCCAUUUUUAUUCAAACGGUUUUUUUGUUUUUUUUUUUUGGUAAAUUUUUUUUCUGAAAGUUUCCAAUUUCCGGAAAGAAAAAAUUCAAAAAAAAAACUAGAAAGAUGAAGAAUUUUUUCAACUGUUCGAAGGUUUUAUUUCGAGGGAAAAUUUCGUGAUGAAUCAAUAAAAGGCCAGAAUAAGAAAUACUAACAACCAUUCUUCCGUUGUAGAUGAUUUACUUAGCCAAAAAGAUGUGUAUAAUUUGGUAUUUUUUUCAUCGUUUUUUUUGACACCCAUAAAGAACAAACGCAAAUGCAGAGGCUCCAAUUAUUUUCAAAUAAAAAUUAUGAAUAACAUUUCGCGUGAUUUGGAAAUUGUCCCAUAGUAAGUAUUCCAUCACAUGUUGAUAUGGAAGCAGUUUUUCAUACAAUCAGUUGUUCCAGCGCAAGCACGACCAGUCACCAAAAUAUAAUUGAAAAAAUGGACUGCAGUGAAUUUUCUGACGUCAAGAGUCACUUGAAUUAUCUACUAUUUUUCUCUUCAAACAAAGUGUUGUACAUACGUAUAAUUUACAAAAUUAUUUAUUAUUAUUUUCAAUAUUUUACAUGAUUACAGUGACGUACAGUUUAUUAAUCAGCGUUGAUAAAAAAAAAAAAAAUGGUCAAGUUUAUGAAAACACAAAUAAUCAUACCUAAUGAAUACUUAGUUCAACAUACGAGUUUAUAUUUGCAAAAUGAUUGAAUGCACAAAGUGUAAGAAUACCUUGAUGGUACAUAUGCUGAAAAAUACAUACUAUCACAUUGAGAUGCUCAAUUAACUUAAACUAUGUACUUACUUGGAGUUUAUAACGAUAAGUACAACAUAUGAACACAUUUGUUUUAAGGUUACAUUUUAUAUACAAUAAAUAUUUUGCACCACCGUA